CUGCUCUCUAGUCUCUUAAGGUGACAGAGGGAGAGAUGAAGAAAAUCACUUUAAUGUUCCUCUAUAAAAUGGGGCUAAUAGUUUUUAAAAUCCCUGUCUCACAGGUCUAUUGGGAAGAAAAUACUUUAUGAGGAAACUGAGACCCAAGCUGAAUAAAUAGUCUAAGGCCAACAGCUUCCAAGCACCCAGGAUAAGCAUCUGCAAGAAGACCACCAUGGAAAAAAAUUCUGCAGCUUAUGUUCCAACAUCUGUCGCAGAAAAUGAGGAAGUUGAGAUAAUUUUGUGAAGAACCCAGUAAGAUGCUCCAAAUUAAAUUAACAUACACUU
Molecule: long non-coding RNA, 327 nt
Filed under: Monodelphis domestica (gray short-tailed opossum)
Lineage: Eukaryota; Metazoa; Chordata; Mammalia; Didelphimorphia; Didelphidae
Description: lncRNA (ENSMODG00000050256.1)
Source: RNAcentral